UACGGGGGGGGCAAGCGUUGUUCGGAUAUACUGGGCGUAAAGCGCACGUAGGCGGCGCCGUAAGUCAGGGGUGAAAUCCCGGAGCUCAACUCCGGAACUGCCCUUGAAACUGCAGUGCUAGAAUCUUGGAGAGGCGAGUGGAAUUCCGAGUGUAGAGGUGAAAUUCGUAGAUAUUCGGAAGAACACCAGUGGCGAAGGCGACUCGCUGGACAAGUAUUGACGCUGAGGUGCGAAAGCGUGGGGAGCAAACAGG
Molecule: ribosomal RNA, 253 nt
Filed under: uncultured bacterium
Lineage: Bacteria
Description: partial 16S ribosomal RNA
Rfam family: Bacterial small subunit ribosomal RNA
Source: RNAcentral